GAUGAAGAACGCAGCGAAAUGCGAUAAGUAAUGUGAAUUGCAGAAUUCAGUGAAUCAUCGAAUCUUUGAACGCACAUUGCGCCCUCUGGUAUUCCGGGGGGGCAUGCCUGUUCGAGCGUCAUUACAACCCUCAAGCUCUGCUUGGUAUUGGGCUCUGCCGGUCCUGGCAGGCCUCAAAGUCAGUGGCGGUGCCAUCCGGCUCCAAGCGUAGUAAUUCUUCUCGCUUCGGAGGCCGCGGUGCGUGCUAGCCAGCAACCCCCAAUUUUUUUCAGGUUGACCUCGGAUCAGGUAGGGAUACCCGCUGAACUUAAGCAUAUCAAUAAGCGGAGGA
Molecule: unclassified non-coding RNA, 331 nt
Filed under: soil metagenome
Description: partial contains 5.8S ribosomal RNA, internal transcribed spacer 2, and large subunit ribosomal RNA
Rfam family: 5.8S ribosomal RNA (bases 1-121)
Source: RNAcentral